Molecule: ribosomal RNA, 429 nt
Filed under: Actinomycetes bacterium
Lineage: Bacteria; Bacillati; Actinomycetota; Actinomycetes
Description: Actinobacteria bacterium partial 16S ribosomal RNA
Rfam family: Bacterial small subunit ribosomal RNA
Source: RNAcentral
UAGGGAAUCUUCCGCAAUGGGCGAAAGCCUGACGGAGCAACGCCGCGUGAGUGAUGAAGGUCUUCGGAUCGUAAAACUCUGUUAUUAGGGAAGAACAAAUGUGUAAGUAACUAUGCACGUCUUGACGGUACCUAAUCAGAAAGCCACGGCUAACUACGUGCCAGCAGCCGCGGUAAUACGUAGGUGGCAAGCGUUAUCCGGAAUUAUUGGGCGUAAAGCGCGCGUAGGCGGUUUUUUAAGUCUGAUGUGAAAGCCCACGGCUCAACUGUGGAGGGUAAUUGGAAACUGGAAAACUAGAGUGCAGAAGAGGAAAGUGGAAUUCCAUGUGUAGCGGUGAAAUGCGCAGAGAUAUGGAGAAAAACAAGUGGCGAAGGCGACUUUAUGGCCUGUAACUGACGCUAAUGUGCGAAAGCGUGGGGAUCAAACAGG